This 392-nucleotide ribosomal RNA is filed under the name uncultured bacterium. RNAcentral's name for it is "partial 16S ribosomal RNA". It matches the Rfam family "Bacterial small subunit ribosomal RNA", at positions 523 to 918 of the family's 1533-position model. The record is from RNAcentral.
AUACGUAGGGGGCGAGCGUUGUCCGGAAUUAUUGGGCGUAAAGGGUACGUAGGCGGUUUUUUAAGUCUGGUGUGAAAUUGGUGGGCUCAACCCACCCAAGCAUUGGAAACUGGAAAACUUGAGUCAUGGAGAGGAAAGUGGAAUUCCUAGUGUAGCGGUGAAAUGCGUAGAUAUUAGGAGGAAUACCGGUGGCGAAGGCGACUUUCUGGACAUGUACUGACGCUGAGGUACGAAAGCGUGGGGAGCAAACAGGAUUAGACACCCUGGUAGUCCACGCCGUAAACGAUGAGUGCUAGGUGUUGGGGGUCAAACCUCGGUGCCGCAGUUAACACAUUAAGCACUCCGCCUGGGGAGUACGUGCGCAAGCAUGAAACUCAAAUGAAUUGACGGGG